Molecule: long non-coding RNA, 257 nt
Organism: Dendronephthya gigantea
Lineage: Eukaryota; Metazoa; Cnidaria; Anthozoa; Malacalcyonacea; Nephtheidae
Exons: 3
Source: RefSeq, a predicted model, not a curated record
AUUUCCUGCUUUUGAAACAAUACUGUAGAAUGGAUGCAACGAAGGGACAGCAUACGAUACAUUUCCCAUGUCUGUUGAUCCAGCAGGCUAUGUACCCAGAAUCUAUCAAGAAAAACAAGCAUGGAGUUGAUGGAUGAAAUGACGAGCUGGAAAACAAGCUGGUAUCCAGUUUUAUCCUGUGAAUGAAGUUGAGGGACUGUUAUUCCUGACCAUUUUGAAUUAUUACUAUUGAUCAAUCUCAUGAGUAAUAUUUACCA